AUUACCUGGGGAUCUGGUUAAAAUUCAGACUCUGAUUCAUAGGUAUGGCAUGGAAGUCUGAGAUUCUGCAUUUCUACCAAGCUCCCAAGUAAUGCCAA
This 98-nucleotide microRNA precursor is filed under the name Loxodonta africana (African savanna elephant). Its description in RNAcentral is "mir-544 microRNA precursor family". It matches the Rfam family "mir-544 microRNA precursor family". The record is from Rfam by way of RNAcentral. Lineage: Eukaryota; Metazoa; Chordata; Mammalia; Proboscidea; Elephantidae.